AGUGAACGCUGGCGGUAGGCCUAACACAUGCAAGUCGAACGGCAGCACAGUAAGCGCUUGCUCUUACGGUUGGCGAGUGGCGGACGGGUGAGGAAUAGAUCGGAAUCUACUUUUUCGUGGGUGAUUACGUAGGGAAACUUACGAUAAUACCGCAUACGACCUACGGGUUAAAGCAGGGGAUCUUCGGACCUUGGGCGAUUGAAUUAGCCGAUGUCGGAUUAGCUAGUUGGCGUGGUAAAGGCACACCAAGGCAACGAUGCGUAGCUGGUCUGAGAGGAUGAUCAGCCACACUGGAACUGAGACACGGUCCAGACUCCUACGGGAGGCAGCAGUAGGGAAUAUUGCACAAUGGGCGAAAGCCUGACCCAGCCAUACCGCGUGGGUGAAGAAGGCCUUCGGGUUGUAAAGCCCUUUUGUUGGGAAAGAACAGCAGCAUGUUAAUAUCUCGCUGUUCUGACGGUACCCAAAGAAUAAGCCCCGGCUAACUUCGUG
RNAcentral lists this ribosomal RNA (492 nucleotides) under uncultured bacterium. RNAcentral describes it as "partial 16S ribosomal RNA". It matches the Rfam family "Bacterial small subunit ribosomal RNA", at positions 29 to 507 of the family's 1533-position model. The record is from RNAcentral.